CCUUGAAAUACCACCCUUUAAUGGCUGGUGUUCUAACGUAGACCCGUAAUCCGGGUUGCGGACAGUGUCUGGUGGGUAGUUUGACUGGGGCGGUCUCCUCCCAAAGAGUAACGGAGGAGCACGAAGGUUGGCUAAUCCUGGUCGGACAUCAGGAGGUUAGUGCAAUGGCAUAAGCCAGCUUGACUGCGAGCGUGACGGCGCGAGCAGGUGCGAAAGCAGGUCAUAGUGAUCCGGUGGUUCUGAAUGGAAGGGCCAUCGCUCAACGGAUAAAAGGUACUCCGGGGAUAACAGGCUGAUACCGCCCAAGAGUUCAUAUCGACGGCGGUGUUUGGCACCUCGAUGUCGGCUCAUCACAUCCUGGGGCUGAAGUAGGUCCCAAGGGUAUGGCUGUUCGCCAUUUAAAGUGGUACGCGAGCUGGGUUUAGAACGUCGUGAGACAGUUCGGUCCCUAUCUGCCGUGGGCGCUGGAGAAUUGAGGGGGGCUGCUCCUAGUACGAGAGGACCGGAGUGGACGCAUCACUGGUGUUCGGGUUGUCAUGCCAAUGGCACUGCCCGGUAGCUAAAUGCGGAAGAGAUAAGUGCUGAAAGCAUCUAAGCACGAAACUUGCCCCGAGAUGAGUUCUCCCUGAGACUUUAAGUCUCCUGAAGGAACGUUGAAGACGACGACGUUGAUAGGUCGGGUGUGUAAGCGCAGCGAUGCGUUGAGCUAACCGAUACUAAUGAACCGUGAGGCUUAACCUUACAACGCCGAAG
Molecule: ribosomal RNA, 753 nt
Filed under: Enterobacter hormaechei
Lineage: Bacteria; Pseudomonadati; Pseudomonadota; Gammaproteobacteria; Enterobacterales; Enterobacteriaceae
Description: partial 23S ribosomal RNA
Rfam family: Bacterial large subunit ribosomal RNA
Source: RNAcentral